This 425-nucleotide long non-coding RNA is filed under the name Mus spicilegus (steppe mouse). RNAcentral's name for it is "lncRNA (ENSMSIG00000020163.1)". The record is from RNAcentral. Lineage: Eukaryota; Metazoa; Chordata; Mammalia; Rodentia; Muridae.
GGCUGACUGAAACCCUGUGUGGAAAGGCACUUUGCAAAGCAUGCCACUGGGGCUUCCAAGGUGGCGAGCUAUGUUGGGAAGCUGUUGGACAGGAUUAUCCUCCGAGUCAAGCAGCUGCUGUCUUCUUCAUGAGGUGAAUGAGCUGGGUGACUGGCAGGAGAGGAGUGCAAUGCCUCAGAGAAAGAAAUGCACGUGGCCUACGUGACUGUUCGAGCCCUGUGUGCAUGUACCGGGAUCAUGGUGGUGGUUGUCUUCACGCCUGGAUGUGUUCCCUGCACCAUGCCUGCCCUGCAAGCUGGAAUGGCUGCAGCCUUCAGUUGGAUGGCCCGGAGGUGCUGCUUCCAGGCCAAGCUCUUCCUUCUUGCUCUUGAAGGCCACCAAGUGCCCCAGUCUACAGUAUCUCAGGUACCACCACUCUCUAGGAG